Molecule: ribosomal RNA, 466 nt
Filed under: uncultured bacterium
Lineage: Bacteria
Description: partial 16S ribosomal RNA
Rfam family: Bacterial small subunit ribosomal RNA
Source: RNAcentral
GACGAACGCUGGCGGCGUGCUUAACACAUGCAAGUCGAACGGUAAGGCUCCAGUUUGCUGGUGGACACGAGUGGCGAACGGGUGAGUAACACGUGGGUGACCUGCCCUGCACUUCGGGAUAAGCCUGGGAAACUGGGUCUAAUACCGGAUAGGACCAUGGUGUGGAUACUGUGGUGGAGAGUUUUUUCGGUGUGGGAUGGGGCCGCGGCGUAUCAGCUUGUUGGUGGGGUAGUGGCCUACCAAGGCGGCGACGGGUAGCCGGCCUGAGGGGGUGGACGGCCACAUUGGGACUGAGACACGGGCCGGACUCGUACGGGAGGCAGCAGUGGGGAAUAUUGCACGAUGGGCGGAAGCCUGAUGCAGCGACGCCGCGGGGUGGAUGACGGCCUUCGGGUUGUAAACUCCUUUCGCCAUCUAUGAAGGGUUUCUGACGGUAGAUGGUGAAGAAGCACCGGCUAACUACGUG